UCGAGAGGCUUCGGCAAUGGGGGAAACCCUGACCGAGCGACGCCGCGUGCGGGAUGACGGCCCUCGGGUUGUAAACCGCUGUCAGGAGGGAAGAAUCCUUCCGGGUUAAUACCCCGGAAGUUGACGGUACCUCCAGAGGAAGCUCCGGCUAACUCCGUGCCAGCAGCCGCGGUAAUACGGAGGGAGCGAACGUUGUUCGGAUUCACUGGGCGUAAAGGGCGUGUAGGCGGUUUGGCAAGUCAGAGGUGAAAUGUCUCGGCUCAACCGAGGACCUGCCUUUGAAACUGCCGAACUUGAGGCCGUGAGAGGAGACUGGAAUUCCUAGUGUAGCGGUGAAAUGCAUAGAUAUUAGGAAGAACACCAGUGGCGAAGGCGAGUCUCUGGCACGGUUCUGACGCUGAGGCGCGAAAGCUAGGGGAGCGAACGGGAUUAGAUACCCCCGUAGUCC
Molecule: ribosomal RNA, 448 nt
Filed under: uncultured prokaryote
Description: bacterial SSU rRNA
Rfam family: Bacterial small subunit ribosomal RNA
Source: RNAcentral